AGAGGCAGGCAGAUCUCUGUGAGUUCGAGGCCAGCCUGAUCUACAAAGCAAGUUCCAAGACAGCCAGGACCACACAGAGAAACUAGGUCUCAAAAA
RNAcentral lists this microRNA precursor (96 nucleotides) under Mesocricetus auratus (golden hamster). Its description in RNAcentral is "miRNA (ENSMAUG00000005844.1)". The record is from RNAcentral. Lineage: Eukaryota; Metazoa; Chordata; Mammalia; Rodentia; Cricetidae.